Molecule: long non-coding RNA, 345 nt
Organism: Drosophila serrata
Lineage: Eukaryota; Metazoa; Arthropoda; Insecta; Diptera; Drosophilidae
Source: RefSeq, a predicted model, not a curated record
CAAAGUAGGCAAUGAAAAUUCUACCUGUGUUCGGAUACUGCCAAACAAUUAAUUGUUGUUUUCGAAGGGAUUCGGAGCAGCGGUUAUGAAAUUAGAUUGAUAUGAUGAAAAAUAUUAUUUAACGAAAUAGAUUUGUUCGCAGCUCUAAAGGCAGCUAAAGUAUUCACAAGUGUUUUGCAAUGUAAUUUAUUAAAUAUUGUUAAAGGACGGUGUGAACGGAAGGCCAUUUUAUAUCCAGUAUUUGUUUUCUUCUUAAUUGAUUGACGAGGCAACAGCCGGAAGGAAAGCCCUGUAACAUAUGUUUAGGGAAAAUGCAAGAAGUUAUGCUAAGAAAAAUUGUGGUAA